UUCGGGUGCCGACGAGUGGCGAACGGGUGAGUAACGCGUGGAUACCUGUCCUAUGGUGGGGAAUAACGUUUAGAAAUGAACGCUAAUACCGCAUAAGCCCUACGGGGGAAAGAUUUAUCGCCAUAGGAGGGGUCCGCGUCGGAUUAGCUUGUUGGUGGGGUAACGGCCUACCAAGGCGACGAUCCGUAGCUGGUCUGAGAGGAUGAUCAGCCACACUGGGACUGAGACACGGCCCAGACUCCUACGGGAGGCAGCAGUGGGGAAUAUUGCGCAAUGGGGGCAACCCUGACGCAGCGACGCCGCGUGGGUGAAGAAGGCCUUAGGGUUGUAAAGCCCUUUCAGUGGGAAAGAUUAUGACGGUACCCACAGAAGAAGCUCCGGCUAACUCCGUGCCAGCAGCCGCGGUAAUACGGAGGGAGCUAGCGUUGUUCGGAAUUACUGGGCGUAAAGGGCGCGUAGGCGGUUUGACAAG
This 472-nucleotide ribosomal RNA is filed under the name uncultured Magnetococcus sp. RNAcentral describes it as "bacterial SSU rRNA". It matches the Rfam family "Bacterial small subunit ribosomal RNA", at positions 79 to 587 of the family's 1533-position model. The record is from RNAcentral. Lineage: Bacteria; Pseudomonadati; Pseudomonadota; Magnetococcia; Magnetococcales; Magnetococcaceae.